Molecule: ribosomal RNA, 411 nt
Filed under: Actinomycetes bacterium
Lineage: Bacteria; Bacillati; Actinomycetota; Actinomycetes
Description: Actinobacteria bacterium partial 16S ribosomal RNA
Rfam family: Bacterial small subunit ribosomal RNA
Source: RNAcentral
UGGGGAAUAUUGCACAAUGGGCGCAAGCCUGAUGCAGCGACGCCGCGUGGGGGAUGACGGCUUUCGGGUUGUAAACUCCUUUCGCUAGGGACGAAGCUUUUUGUGACGGUACCUAGAUAAGAAGCACCGGCUAACUACGUGCCAGCAGCCGCGGUAAUACGUAGGGUGCGAGCGUUGUCCGGAAUUACUGGGCGUAAAGGGCUCGUAGGUGGUUUGUCGCGUCGUCUGUGAAAUUCCGGGGCUUAACUCCGGGCGUGCAGGCGAUACGGGCAUAACUUGAGUACUGUAGGGGUAACUGGAAUUCCUGGUGUAGCGGUGAAAUGCGCAGAUAUCAGGAGGAACACCGAUGGCGAAGGCAGGUUACUGGGCAGUUACUGACGCUGAGGGGCGAAAGCAUGGGUAGCGAACAGG